GGCAAUGGGCGAAAGCCUGACGGAGCGACGCCGCGUGCAGGAUGAAGGCCCUUGGGUUGUAAACUGCUGUCAGAGGGGAUGAAGUCACGGUUGGCUAUCCUUCCGUGUUGACAGAGCCUCAAAGGAAGCACGGGCUAAGUACGUGCCAGCAGCCGCGGUAACACGUACUGUGCGAACGUUAUUCGGAAUCACUGGGCUUAAAGGGUGCGUAGGCGGUUUAUCAAGUCAGGUGUGAAAUGCCAGAGCUCAACUGUGGCACUGCGCUUGAAACUGAUAGACUAGAGGGUUCCAGGGGUAUACGGAACUGCCAGUGGAGCGGUGAAAUGCGUUGAUAUCGGCAGGAACACCAGUGGCGAAGGCGGCAUACUGGGGGACAACUGACGCUGAGGCACGAAAGCUAGGGUAGCGAACGGGAUUAGAUACCCCGGUAGUCCUGGCUGUAAA
RNAcentral lists this ribosomal RNA (444 nucleotides) under uncultured Planctomycetota bacterium. RNAcentral describes it as "bacterial SSU rRNA". It matches the Rfam family "Bacterial small subunit ribosomal RNA", at positions 367 to 806 of the family's 1533-position model. The record is from RNAcentral. Lineage: Bacteria; Pseudomonadati; Planctomycetota.